RNAcentral lists this long non-coding RNA (362 nucleotides) under Bos taurus (domestic cattle). RNAcentral's name for it is "long non-coding RNA NONBTAT004899". The record is from RNAcentral. Lineage: Eukaryota; Metazoa; Chordata; Mammalia; Artiodactyla; Bovidae.
CCUUACUUGACCUUAUCUUGCAUUAAAAUGUCUCAUGUAUCUAUAUAUGUGUAUGUGUGAGGUAUUCAAAGUGGUGAGGAAGUUAUAUACUGUCAAAUAAUUUGAAAUGUUAGAAGGGAGGCAUCCUCCUUAUCACACAGAGCAGUGAUCAAAAGUUUCACAAUCACAAUAUUUUCUUACCAUGAAGGACUGUUCAAAUACCAGUGUUACAAAAAAAGACUUUUGUUAGUAAGAUAAGAGUGCGUUCCAGUUUUUGUCAGUUCAAGAUCUUCUUUAGAUCACUCAGCAUGUUCUAAGAGCGUAGAUACUCAGGCCACCCCGUCCCCCCACCUCCGAGACCUCUAACUCAGAAUCUUUAGGCC